GAGCGCUCGUAGCAAUACGGGAGCGGCAGACGGGAGAGUAACACGUGGGAACGUACCUUUCGGUUCGGAACAACCCAGGGAAACUUGGGCUAAUACCGGAUACGUCCGUAAGGAGAAAGAUUUAUCGCCGAAAGAUCGGCCCGCGUCCGAUUAGCUAGUUGGUGGGGUAAUGGCUCACCAAGGCUACGAUCGGUAGCUGGUCUGAGAGGAUGAUCAGCCUCACUGGGACUGAGACACGGCCCAUACUCCUACGGGAGGCAGCAGUGGGGAAUAUUGGACAAUGGGCGCAAGCCUGAUCCAGCCAUGCCGCGUGGGUGAUGAAGGCCUUAGGGUUGUAAAGCCCUUUCGGCGGGGAAGAUAAUGACGGUACCCGCAGAAGAAGCCCCGGCUAACUUCGUGCCAGCAGCCGCGGUAAU
This 416-nucleotide ribosomal RNA is filed under the name uncultured bacterium. RNAcentral's name for it is "bacterial SSU rRNA". It matches the Rfam family "Bacterial small subunit ribosomal RNA", at positions 64 to 524 of the family's 1533-position model. The record is from RNAcentral.